Capsella rubella is the source of this 5464-nucleotide long non-coding RNA. RefSeq lists it as uncharacterized. The transcript has 8 exons. The record is from RefSeq and is a predicted model, not a curated record. Lineage: Eukaryota; Viridiplantae; Streptophyta; Magnoliopsida; Brassicales; Brassicaceae.
GUCACUAGAGAGCGUUCUUUGAGUUUCUCCGAAGAACCAUCAUCGUCAGGCAAGCGGGUAGCUGCUGGCGAGGUUCAAGAUUCUCAGUAAGACAAGCAAGAUGUGAUUAACACUGUAAGUCUUGUUAAACUGUGUUCUUAAGAUUGUGAUUAUCUUUCAUAUAUUGAGACAAGCAAGAUGUGAUUGACACUGUAAGACUUGUCACACUAUGUUCAAAAGAUUGUCAUAAUCUUCAAUAUAUUUGCUGGCUGGGCAUAAACUUCAAACCCAUAAGAAAGGGACGACACAUUAUAUGAUUGUGUUCUGUCCCGUUUCUAAUUUGGGAAUAUUGUACCUCAGUAAGACAAGCAAGAUGUGAUUAACUCUGUAAGACUUGUCAAACUGUGGUCAGUGAUUGCAAUAAUCUUCUAUAUAUUUAGACAAGCAAGAUGUGAUUAACACUGUAAGACUUGUCAACUUAUAUUAAAAGAUUAUUCUUAAGUAAGACAAGCAUGAUGUGAUUGGCACCGUAAGACUUGUCAAACUGUGUUCAAAACACUGCAAUUAUCUUCUACAUAUUUAGGCAAGCAAGAUGUGAUUAACACUGUAAGACUUGUCAGCUUAUGUUCAGAGAUUGCGAUUAUCUUUUACAUGUUGCUGGCUGGGCAGCGUUACAUAAACUUCAAGUUUCUGCAAAGAUCUGCCUUCAUAUAUUAAGGCUUUUCUAAUGAUGAUAAUAAGGCAAGCAAGAUGUCAUUGACUCUGUAAGACUUGUCGUAUUAUCUUCUACAUAUUGCUGGCUGGGCAGCAUUACAUAAACUUCAAGUUUCUGGAAAGAUCUGCCUUCAUUAAGGCUUUUCUAAUGAUGUCCUGUGAAGGAUAAAUUCAUUGUUCUGCUUCAAAACUCAAUGAUCUGCUUAGUGGUCUAAUGAUGUCCGAUUGGGAAAUUCAGUUGUAAGGAUGAGGACUGCAGAUGAAACACUCAGAGAUAUACAUGUCCCUAAGUAACGCUUGUCACAUUAUGUUCAUAGAUUGGAUGAUUGAAUCUCUGCAAUUAUCUUCUAUAUAUUGCUGGCUGGGCAGCAUUAGAUAAACUUCAUGUUUCUGCAAAGAUCGGUCUUCAUAUAUGAAGGCUUUUCUAAUGAUGAUAAUAAGGCAAGCAAGAAGUGAUCGACUCUGUAAGACUUGUCAUAUUAUCUUCUACAUAUUGCUGGCUGGGCAGCAUUACAUAAACUUCAAGUUUCUGCAAAGAUCUGCCUUCAUUAAGGCUUUUCUAUUGAUGAUAAGAAGGCAAGCAAGAUGUGAUUAACUCUGUAAGACUUGUCAUAUUGCUGGCUAGGCAGCAUUACAUAUAAACUUCAUGUUCUACAAAGAUCUGCCUUUUCUAAUGAUGAUAAUAAGGCAAGCAAGAUGUGAUUAACUCUGUAAGACUUGUCAUAUUAUCUUCUACAUAUUGCUGGCUGGGCAGCAUUACACAAACUUCAAGUUUCUGCAAAGAUCUGCCUUCAUUAAGGCUUUUCUAUUGAUGAUAAGAAGGCAAGCAAGAUGUGAUUGACUCUGUAAGACUUGUCAUAUUGCUGGCUGGGCAGCAUUACAUUUAAGCUUCAAGUUCUGCAAAAAACUGCCUUCAUAUAUUAAGGCUUUUCUAAUGAUUAUAAUAAGGCAAGCAAGAUUUCAUUGACUCUGUAAGACUUGUCGUAUUAUCUUCUACAUAUUGCUGGCUGGGCAGCAUACAUAACCUUCAUUAAGGCUUUUCUAAUGUUGUUCUGUGAAGGAGAAAUUCAUUAUUCUGCUUUAAAACUCAAUGAUCUGUUUAGUGAUGGGGAUAAACUGUCUUUUAUAAGACUGGUCUAAUGAUGUCUGAUUGGGAAACUCAGUUGUAAGGACGGAGGCAGCAGAUGAAAACACUCAGAGAUAUAUAUGUCCCUAAGUAAAGCUUGUCACAUUAUGUUCAUAAGUUGGGUAGUUGAAUCUCUGCAAUUAUCUUCUAUACAUUGCUGGCUGGGCAGCAUUACAUAAACUUGAUGUUUCUGCAAAGAUCUGUCUUUAUUAAGACUUUUCUAAUGAUAAAUUCAGUUAUCUGCUUUAAAACUCAAUGAUCUGCUUAUUGAUGGAGAUAAAUUGUCUUUUAGAAGACUUGGCUAAUGAGAAAUUCAGGUGUCCCUAUGUUGCCUAACUAAGUAAAACAAACAAGGUGUGAUUGAAACAGAGAUAUAUACGUCCCUGAGUAAAGCUUGUCACAUUAUGUUCAUACGUUGGAUAGUUGAAUCUCUGCAAUUAUCUUAUAUAUAUAUUGCUGGCUGGGCAGCACAAUAUUAACUUCAACUCUCUGCAAAGAUCUGUCUUUCUUAAGACUUUUCUAAUGAUAAAUUCAGUUUCUGCUUUAAAACUCAAUGAUCUGCCUAUUGAUGGGGAUAAAUUGUCUUUUAUAAGACUUUUCUAGUGAUGUCCGAUUGGGAAACUAAGUUGUAUGGAUGGGCAGCACAUGAAACUCUCAGUAAUCUGCAAAUUGAUGGAAGAAAAAGCAGUAAACUUCAGAUUCUGCAUGCCUUAACUAAGGUUAGUCUAAAUCAUGUCCCGAGAGUCAUAACUUCAGAACUUUUAAUCCUCUGUGCCUAUCUUGAAGCUCUUCUUGUUAGCGAAGGCACAUCCUUGUGCAACGCUUGAUGGGUCGAGGUUCGGUGAAGGCACUAAAGAGAAAGAGAGGGAGAUGAAAGAAAUAACAUAUAUAAUCUGCAAAUUGAUGGAAGAAAAGGCAAUAUAAACUUCAGAUUCUGCAUGCCUUAAUUAAGGCACAUUAUUGUGCAACGCUUGAUGGGUCUAGGUUCGGUGAAGGCACUAAAGAGAAAGAGAGGGAGAUGAGAGAAAGAACAUAUAUAAUCUGCAAAUCGAUGGAAGAAAAAGCAGUAUAAACUUCAGAUUUUGCAUGCCUUUAUUAAGUGAAGGCACAUUAUUGUGCAACGCUUGAUGAGUCGAGGUUCGGUGAAGGCACUAAAGAGAAAGAAAGGGAGAUGAGAGAACAGACAUAUAUAAACUGCAAAUUGAUGGAAGAAAAAGCAGUAUAAACUUCAGAUUCUGCAUGCCUUUAUUAAGGUUAGUCUAAUCAUGUUUAAACCUCUCUGCCUAGAUCUUGAAGCUCUUCUUGUUAGCGAAGGCACAUCAUCGUGCAACGCUUGGUGGGUCGAGGUUCGGGCAAGGCACUAAAGAGAAAGAGAGAGAGAGUGAUGAGAGAAAGAACAUAUAUGAUCGUCUGAAUUUAGACAAUCGUUUAAAAUAUUCAGAUAUUUGUAUACUACAAGGAUCUGACUUCUUAUUGAAGAGGUAUGUAUUCCAUCUACAACCAGCUCAAUGUUAGAGUUUUGCAUUGUUCUAAUGGUAAUUUUUUUUUGUUAUGUACAUCUCUUCAACAUUAAAGAAUGAAUCAAUCUGAUUUGUCUCAUUAUGUUCUAACCACAUCUUUUAGUGACUGAUUCUUAAUAGGGAUAUACAGAAAAUCAAGUUUGCGGAUUAUAUAUUUUCCACUUUGAUCAGGUGAAUGUCCCUUCCCUCUUUUACUUAUAAUCUUCCCAAGCAUUUUCCUUGAUGGCGUUUAUGGUUUUGUGAGUAACUCCGUUUUUUUGAGUCUUUUGUGCAUAUAUAAAUUUUAAAGCUUCAGAAGAGAACUCGAAUGUGUACAAAGAUUUGUCUCAGUAAUAAGAUUUUGGAGCAUGUGUGAUUCAUUAGAGGAGAAUUAUGGGAUUUUGGUGACUUCUAGUGCACAACAGAAUUGGCUAAACUAGUAGAAAAGAUGCAGAAGCUACUAUGAAUUUGAGGAAGAUGAUGUAUAUAUGGGAAAUUUCACCUCUUUGCAAGCGAGGCAUUUUUGGUGGCAGUCAUAUGACCAUGAAUGAUUUUGCAAGAUUGAAUCGAACAGAUUUGUCUAAGGUACAUGUUCUUUUUCUAUGCUUUCAAUAUCAUAGUGUUUUUGCUUGCGUCUUAAUUCUUGUGUUAGGCAGUACUGUCUGAUUCUUAAUUCUAGGAAAUUCAGCCAAUUUUGACGAGGCACCAGAGUUAUCAUCUCCCUAACUCCACAUGACGCUAAGAGACUAGUGACUUUUGUCAUCCAUUUGCAAGACCUCUGCAACCAAAGGUAUUGCCUAUAAACAAUUUCUUCUUAAGAUUUUUUUCUAACCUUUACAUAACUGUGAUUCUUUUAUCAGAUAGGAGAUUUUCAAAAGCAAAGGUUUGGUCUUUCUUCUCUUUAUAAGACUAAUAAAACAUAAACACACAUACACAAAAUCAUACACUAAACGCAAACAUAAACGCACUUACACGAAACCCUUUCUCUUUAUAAGACUAAUAAAACAUAAACGCACAUACAUGAAACCCUUCUCUUUAUAAGACUAAUAAAACAUAAACGCACAUACACGAAACCCUUUUCUUUAAAAGACUAAUAAAACAUAAACGCACAUACACGAAAAUCAUACACUAAACGAAAACAUAAACGCACAUACACGAAAAUCAUACACUAAACAAAAACAUAAACACAUACAUGAAGCCCUUCUUUAUAAGACAAAUAAAACAUAAACGCACAUACACGAAACCUUUUCUUUAAAAGACUAAUAAAACAUAAACGCACAUACACGAAAAUCAUACACUAAACGAAAACAUAAACGCACAUACACGAAAAUCAUACACUAAACAAAAACAUAAACACAUACACGAAACCCUUCUCUUUAUAAGACUAAUAAAACAUAAACGUACAUACACAAAACCGUUCUUUUUAUAAGACUAAUAAAACAUAAACGUACAUACACGAAAAUCAUACACUAAACGAAAACAUAAACGCACAUACACGAAACCUUUCUCUUUAUAAGACUAAUAAAACAUAAACGCACAUACACGAAAAUCAUACACUAAACGAAAACAUAAAUGCACAUACACGAAAAUCAUACACUAAACAAAAACAUAAACGCACAUGCGCAAAACCCUUCUCUUUAUAAGAUUAAUAAAACAUAAACGCACAUACACGAAACCCUUCUCUUUAUACGACUAAUAAAACAUACCCUUCUCUUUAUAAGACUAAUAAAACAUAACGCAUAUACACGAAAGUCAUACACUAAACGAAAACUUAAACGCACAUACACGAAAAUCAUACACUAAACAAAAACACAAACGCACAUACACGAAACCCUUCUCUUUAUAAGACUAAUAAAACGUAAACGCACAUACACGAAACCCUUCUUUUUAUAAGACUAAUAAAACAUAAACGCACAUACACGAAAAUCAUACACUAAACGAAAACAUAAACUCACAUACACGAAGGCCAUACACUAAACGAAACCAUAAACGCAUAUACACGAAGGCCAUACACUAACCGAAAAACAUAAACGCAUAUACGCGAAGCUCAUACACUAAUCAAAAAACAUAAACGCAUAUACACGAUGCUCAUACACUAACCGAAAACCUAAAUGCAUAUACACGGAGGUCAUACACUAACCGAAAA